Molecule: ribosomal RNA, 406 nt
Filed under: uncultured bacterium
Lineage: Bacteria
Description: partial 16S ribosomal RNA
Rfam family: Bacterial small subunit ribosomal RNA
Source: RNAcentral
AUUGAACGCUGGCGGCAGGCCUAACACAUGCAAGUCGAACGAGUGUCGGACGGGUGAGUAAUGUAUGGGACACUGGCUGAUGGAGGGGGAUAACUAAUGGAAACUGUAGCUAAUACCGCAUAACAUCGGAUAUGCACAGAUGGGAUUAGCGAGUGGGUGGGGUAAAGGCGCACCUAGGCGACGAUCACUCGCUGGUCUGAGAGGAUAACGAGCCCAACUGGGAAUGAGACCCGGGCCAGACUCCGACGGGAGGCCGGAGUGGGGAAUAUUGCACAAUGGGGGCAAGCCGGAUGCAGCCAGGCCGCGUGUAUGAAGAAGGCCUUCGGGUUGUAAAGUACUUUCAGCGGAGAGGCGUUAACCACAGAAGAAGCACCGGCUAACUCCGUGCCAGCAGCCGCGGUAAUUC